AGCCUUUCCAGACUCUGAAAUCUAGUUGUCUAUUGCUAAGGGGCCUCAUGAUAUUAAAUAAGCUCAAGAGACUGAUUUUAAAAAUCAAAGCCCUGAUUUAUUAAUUUACAAUGAGGGGACCAGGCACUUGAGUCUUCUGGCCAGAACAUUCUCUCCCCGCUGAUACUCCUUUGGGAAGCUACGCUGUAUUCAUUAGCUUGCUCAGUGAGCUUGGUUUCAGAGUAAGAAUUAGACGAGAGGAAUCUCCUAUACUGUGUGACAUUGGUUCACUACUUUUUUUGUACCAAGGCAACUCUGCACUUUGACUAUUCUUUCCAGAAAAACUCAGCUGCCAAUCCAAUGGGAAAGCACUCUGAAACCUUCAGCUUCCAGGAAAUGAAAAAUACAGCAUUUUGGGAUCUCAAUUUAAAAAUGGAUUUAUAAGUCCUCUGUGGGCUCACCUGCAGUAUAAACUUUUGACCUGGUGAUCACCCUCACCUCUAGCAGAGAGUACAUAUGCCUGGCUGGAACACUCAAAGACCAUUUAGGGAAAGAGAUAUGUAACUGAGGUGGAAGCUGGUACCUGUGAAAGUAAAUGCUGACUAUCAUGAGCCCAGAGUUAGGAUCCCAUCUAGGAUCUCACUUUAUAUCCAGUCAUCAUGUACCCUUGGGUUUCUCAUGGCUGUGAUAGUUUCUCAGACUUUUC
Lutra lutra (Eurasian river otter) is the source of this 685-nucleotide long non-coding RNA. RefSeq lists it as uncharacterized. The record is from RefSeq and is a predicted model, not a curated record. NCBI's taxonomy places the organism in Eukaryota, Metazoa, Chordata, Mammalia, Carnivora, Mustelidae. The transcript has 3 exons.